RNAcentral lists this ribosomal RNA (425 nucleotides) under uncultured bacterium. RNAcentral's name for it is "partial 16S ribosomal RNA". It matches the Rfam family "Bacterial small subunit ribosomal RNA", at positions 354 to 796 of the family's 1533-position model. The record is from RNAcentral.
GUGGGGAAUCUUGCGCAAUGGGCGAAAGCCUGACGCAGCCAUGCCGCGUGAAUGAUGAAGGUCUUAGGAUUGUAAAAUUCUUUCACCGGGGACGAUAAUGACGGUACCCGGAGAAGAAGCCCCGGCUAACUUCGUGCCAGCAGCCGCGGUAAUACGAAGGGGGCUAGCGUUGCUCGGAAUUACUGGGCGUAAAGGGCGCGUAGGCGGACAGUUUAAUCAGAGGUGAAAGCCCAGGGCUCAACCUUGGAAUUGCCUUUGAUACUGGCUGUCUUGAGUACGGGAGAGGUGAGUGGAACUCCGAGUGUAGAGGUGAAAUUCGUAGAUAUUCGGAAGAACACCAGUGGUGAAGGCGACUCACUGGCCCGUUACUGACGCUGAGGCGCGAAAGCGUGGGGAGCAAACAGGAUUAGAAACCCGUGUAGUCC